CAGCAGCCGCAGUAAUACGCAGGUGGCGAGCGUUGCCCGGAAUUACUGGGCGUAAAGGGUGCGUAGGCGGCCGGACAAGUCAUAGGUUAAAGCCCGGAGCUCAACUCCGGAAAGGCCUAUGAUACUGUCUGGCUUGAGGGCCGGAGAGGCUGGCGGAAUUCCCGGUGUAGGGGUGAAAUCCGUAGAUAUCGGGAGGAACACCGGUGGGGAAGCCGGCCAGCUGGACGGUUCCUGACGCUGAGGCACGAAAGCGUGGGGAGCAAACCGGAUUAGAUACCCGGGUAGUCCACGCCGUAAACGAUGGGCGCUAGGUGUGGGGGUGAAAGCCUCUGUGCCGUAGCUAACGCGUUAAGCGCCCCGCCUGGGGAGUACGGCCGCAAGGCUGAAACUUAAAGGAAUUGGCGGG
Molecule: ribosomal RNA, 406 nt
Filed under: uncultured microorganism
Description: bacterial SSU rRNA
Rfam family: Bacterial small subunit ribosomal RNA
Source: RNAcentral